Long non-coding RNA from Triplophysa dalaica, 2593 nucleotides. RefSeq lists it as uncharacterized. Lineage: Eukaryota; Metazoa; Chordata; Actinopteri; Cypriniformes; Nemacheilidae. The record is from RefSeq and is a predicted model, not a curated record. The transcript is spliced from 3 exons.
UCAGACAGUGCUGGUCGACGUGACUUGGUCUGGUGUAUACGAGAUCACUUAAAAGUUACAAUCGAUUCUUCAGAAGCGGAGUCGGAUGGAAGCGGUCUGAUCUUUUUUUAAACACUUUGGCAGUACCUACACAACCCUGGCUAAAGUAAAUCUGAUGUGUGGACUGGACUCUUUGGUUUGAUUGAGACAUCAGAGACGCCUUAUGGCAUUUUCUGCCAAGUCCGACGAGAAGGUACCGAAUGCCAAGACAACUGUGCCAAGGCUUUUGGAUGCAGAGUGGCAAAGACGGAGCAAAAACUGCAGUGUGUCAAGAGCAACGGCAUGGACAACAGAUCGAACUAACUCCUCCAUACGAAUCCUAUAAGCUUUGGUUUUAUGAUGCGCUUUUGUCUCAUAUCACGAAGAGUGGGGACCAAAUCAGGCAGAAUGCCACGCGGACCGCCAGGAGCACACCAGACCGCAUGCUCGCUGUUUACUGCAUACGUGCAUUCAUUCAGCAGACACACGCGCAUGAAGGAUGUGAACUUCAAUGGACACCAAUGAAAAGAAUGACUGAAACCGGUUCGCACAUAGAGAGAGCCAUUGCGAAGGCGACACGCACACACACAAACAGAUGUGGCAAGGCAACCUACCCACCCUAAACGCUUUAAAACACUAUGAGACACCUGACAGCUGUUCCUGGCCUGGGGAAAAAAUGAGAGGGAAGAUCGCAGCUCCGAGCGCACAGCUGGAUACGGAAACAGGUCCCUCUUCCCAGCGUAUGCGGCAUGCACAUGUGUGCAUGCUGUCUCAGCAUGUACAAAAUGACAGGUGACCAAGAUGAAAAUUAACUAAAGGGACGAAAGAGGAAAAUCCUCCCAUGACUUUAUUUUAGAGAUGGACAUGAAAGCAGGCUCAGGAGAUCACAACAGUGAAAGAAAAGAACCAAAAAGCUGGUUGCUAAAAAAUAAAAUGCAAAAAAACAAAUAAACAUUUGGAACGUUCUCAUGAAAAUAUAUAGAGUGAAAAUGUGUAAAGAAUAAGAAACAACAAAAAUGUUAAAAUAAUGUUAGAACUACGUAUGUAUUGACGCAGCGUAAGCCCACCACAAGCUGAACACGUUGUGCCAAAGAGGUGUCGUUCAUCAUUAGACGAAGCCCAUGAAGAGCUCCACGCAGUCAAUGAUUGUAGAGAGAAGGGCGACUGUGAUGCGCCUCCAUUAAGCUUUCAUGUCUCCGAUCAGAGGUGCGCUAGUGCCAGGCCCAUUGUGCCCAUCUGCGGCAGAGACAGACAGGCAGGCCGUUCGGGGCCCUCUCCUGCGGUGUGACUAACUCAUGAAGACAGUGCCAGGGAUGAAGAGGGCCCCGGCCCUGCCAAGGGACCAACCGCAGCCUGCUUCCACUCAAGGCCGCUUUUGUUGUGGCUCCGCUAUCUUCCCACAACAUGCGCUUCAAUCAAACCCACCCUGGCAAUAUCCCACAAAAAAUGCGAAAUCCGCUUUUCACAGUCAUAUGUUAAACGUCUUCAUUUGCCAUGUGGAUGUGUCUAGCUUUAUUAAGUGGGGGGUAUGUGCUGCAUGCUGAUAAUGUACUAAUAGGGUAAGAGUGGGAAAGGGAAGAGAAAGGAUAGAAGAUAGAUUUUUGGUGUUCUUAUAGUCAGAAGAAAUACAUAAAUGCCCGGCUUCACACACAGCGCUUAAGACUAGUGUCUAAAAUGAAAGUUUGAGCUGUCCUUGCUGAAAAUAAAUUUGCCCUGACAUAUCUUAAAAUAUGUUGAGGCCUUUUUUAUCUCGAGAUGCACUCCAGUAAUGUUUUUAUUCGAAGAGUCAUAUCCUGGUUUAGGCUAAGCCUUGUCUGUGAAACCGGGCCAAAGUUUUUAUAUAAAGCCUGUUUACCACUACAUAACUUUUCAGUCUCCAGUAAGCACAAGAUUAUUAAUUGUGUCAUAAAUUUACAUAAGUGACCAUUUAAAAUAAUAAUAAUAAUUUAGAAAAUUAAGGUUUGGUUUCAAUGAAGAGUGUUUUGUGAUACUUGUUUUUAUGAAACAUUCAAUUGUUCAUUUGUUGUUAGAAUAAUAUUUUGUCUUUUUUGAGACAUGAAUACAGCUGAAGAAACACAUUUGAGAGCAUGUCAAAAUAAUAAUAAUAAGUUUUUUCAGAAUUUACUAUUUAUUUAUGUAUUUUUCUCAAUCUGUGAACUACUUACAACAUUUCUCCCAAAUUAAAAAAAAAAUGUUUCUAUUUGCAUUUAUUUGCAGAAAAUGAAAACUAGUCAAAGUAACAGAAAAGAUGUUCUGAUUUUUUUCAGAUCUCAAAAACUGCAAAGAAAACAAGUUAAUUUUUAAGCAAUACAACAAGAAUAUUUGUCAUUUGGGAAAGUUGUGUCAUGCUGUCAGCCUUUCACAUUUGCUGUAGGACGACUUUGUCACUCCAGAGGUUUGAUUUCGUUUCAAUUCAACAUACAAUGGACUGGAAUGGUCACAAUACAUCUAGAAAUGCUGUUUAAAUGAAAUAAUAAUGCUGAUUAUUUUGUAAUAUAGUUUCAUUACUAAGUGAAAAAAAUAUGAUCUUUAAACAAAAUGCUUACUUUGAUCAUCCUAAGCAAUCUUUAUUUUA